GCUAAAAUGACUAAAAUGACUAAAAAUGGAAAUAAUAUCUCUUACAGUCUGUUGUAUUUCAGCCAUUCACACCCUAAUGAUCAUAUUAACUAUUUGGGGCCGUUUCCUGUCAAUUUCACGUGUAUUUACAUAGAUUAGCUCAUGUGUGAUUUCUCAUAACCUUUAUCCAGACAUUCGUAAGAGACAGUUCACUUUUGCCCCCUUCAUGACGACUUUCCGAUAGAUGGCAGAGAUAGGAGGGAAAUUCAGAGGGUUAUGAGUCACAAAGAGAGACACCAAGUAUAAAACACAGCCUGAUGCCUCGGGUCUGUUACUACUCAGACACACAGACAGACAGAAAGAGACAGGUAAAGAGAGAGACUGGUAAAGAGAGAGAGACUGACAGAUAGAGAGAGAGAGAGACAGACAGACAGACAGAGAGAGAGACAGAUAGAGAGAGAGAGAGACAGAUAGACAGAGAGAGAGAGAGAGAGCGAGAGAGAGAGAGAGAGAGACAGAGAGAGAGAGAGAGAGAGGCUCAUGAAGGAAUACGUUGACAAGAGGAUGUGUAUUCUGCGUCUUGGGGAAGGAAGUCAACAGCAGGUCGUUCUCAGUACUGCAGCCGCUCUGCUUCCCGACAGUGGACUGGAGAUUCCCCCAGUUCCAAUCUGGAAACAGCUUCCCAGGUCAAGGUUAAUGCUAAUCGUGAUAGGGGUUCUGUUGUUUAAAAAAAAGACACCUAGCAUGUAAGCAUUAGCCCUGCUCUGGGGCCACACUGCUACUGCUGCUGCUGCUGUAAUACACAGAGGCCCUGAAGGGCGCCUGGCUGUUUUGACCCAGCUAAAGGAGACAUCAUGCUCCUAUCGUCAUGUCUUGUGUUGAUGUAUUAUUAGUUGCAUCCCAAAUGGAACUCUAUUCCUUACGUGGUGCACUACCGUGGUCCCGGCCCCCCCAGGGCUCUGGUCAAAAGGAGUGCACUACAAAGGGAAUAGGGUGCCGAUGGGGACACACACGCACACAUUGAGUGGUGUUCAUGCUGUCCAUGACUGGAGUGGUGGGAGGGAUGAUGCCCACAUCGUAACAGCAUUCAUACCGAAACCACCCGCCUCUUCAUCCUCCUGCUAAACCACCCCCCUCAUCUUCAUCCUCCUCCUAUACCACCCUCCUCCUCUUCAUCCCCCUCCUCCUCUUCAUCCUCUUCCUAAACCACCCUCCUCAUCUUCAUCCUCCUAAACCACCCUCCUCGUCUUCAUCCUCCUAAACCACCCUCCUCAUCUUCAUCCUCCUCCUAUACCACCCUCCUCAUCUUCAUCCUCCUCCUAUACCACCCUCCUCAUCUUCAUCCUCCUAAACCACCCCCCUCAUCUUCAUCCUCUUCCUAAACCACCCUCCUCAUCUUCAUUCUCCUGCUAAACCACCCUCCUCCUCUUCAUCCUCCUAAACCACCCUCCUCCUCUUCAUCCUCUUCCUAAACCACCAUCCUCAUCCUCUUCCUAAACUACCCUCCUCCUCUUCAUCCUCCUCCUCAUCCUCCUCUUCAUCCUCCUCCUAAACCAACCUCAUCAUCCUCAUCCUCCUAAACCACCCUCCUCUUCCUCUUCAUCCUCCUCCUCUUCAUCCUCCUCCUGUCCCUGAUGGACACAACUUAUUUUCAGCUAGGAUUUACUAUAGAUAGAUCUCUGUAGCCUGGGUACCAGUCUGUUGUAGAUGGGUCUCUGUUAGAGGAUUGUACUAGCCUGGGUACCAGUCUGUUGUAGAUAGGUCUCUGUUAGAGGAUUGUACUAGCCUGGGUACCAGUCUGUUUGUGCUGACAUUCCACUCCUUGUACUCUGUGUCAAAUGCCAAACAUGAACAGGAGUGUCAGGAAGUGGCAUGAUGGCACAAACCGACCGAUACCCAGGCUAGGGUUGUAUAGCCUGAAAAGAAGAAACCAAACCUUAUUCUGAAUGAUAUUCACAUGGCUCAUGGUGGGAUAAGAGGAGUGUAAUAUAUAUUUCUCAACAUUGUAUCGUUUAUUUCAAUAAAAUCUGUGAAGUUAAAUAAGUUGAAGAUUUCAAUAAAUGACGUUGUAAAAUAGCCUACAUUGUUGUCGACAAUUUUUUUGUGUUGAUGGGC
This 2094-nucleotide long non-coding RNA is filed under the name Salmo salar (Atlantic salmon). RNAcentral's name for it is "lncRNA (ENSSSAG00000100664.1)". The stretch from base 670 to 739 matches the Rfam family "mir-155 microRNA precursor family". Lineage: Eukaryota; Metazoa; Chordata; Actinopteri; Salmoniformes; Salmonidae. The record is from RNAcentral.